GACGAACGCUGGCGGCGUGCCUAAUACAUGCAAGUAGAACGCUGAAGAGAGGAGCUUGCUCUUCUUGGAUGAGUUGCGAACGGGUGAGUAACGCGUAGGUAACCUGCCUUGCAGCGGGGGAUAACUAUUGGAAACGAUAGCUAAUACCGCAUAACAAUGGAUGACACAUGUCAUUUAUUUGAAAGGGGCAAUUGCUCCACUACAAGAUGGACCUGCGUUGUAUUAGCUAGUAGGUGAGGUAAUGGCUCACCUAGGCGACGAUACAUAGCCGACCUGAGAGGGUGAUCGGCCACACUGGGACUGAGACACGGCCCAGACUCCUACGGGAGGCAGCAGUAGGGAAUCUUCGGCAAUGGGGGCAACCCUGACCGAGCAACGCCGCGUGAGUGAAGAAGGGUUUCGGAUCGUAAAGCUCUGUUGUAAGUCAAGAACGGGUGUGAGAGUGGAAAGUUCACACUGUGACGGUAGCUUACCAGAAAGGGACGGCUAACUACGUG
Molecule: ribosomal RNA, 497 nt
Filed under: uncultured bacterium
Lineage: Bacteria
Description: partial 16S ribosomal RNA
Rfam family: Bacterial small subunit ribosomal RNA
Source: RNAcentral